Molecule: ribosomal RNA, 389 nt
Filed under: uncultured bacterium
Lineage: Bacteria
Description: bacterial SSU rRNA
Rfam family: Bacterial small subunit ribosomal RNA
Source: RNAcentral
GACGAACGCUGGCGGCGUGCUCAACACAUGCAAGUCGAGCGGUAAGGCCCUUUCGGGGGUACACGAGCGGCGAACGGGUGAGUAACACGUGGGUGACCUGCCCUCAGCUCUGGGAUAAGCCUGGGAAACCGGGUCUAAUACCGGAUAUGACUCCAUGACGCAUGUUGUGGGGUGGAAAGCCUUGUGCGGCUGGGGAUGGGCCCGCGGCCUAUCAGCUUGUUGGUGGGGUGAGGCCUACCAAGGCGACGACGGGUAGCCGGCCUGAGAGGGCGACCGGCCACACCGGGACUGAGACACGGCCCAGACUCCUACGGGAGGCAGCAGUGGGGAAUCUUGCGCAAUGGGCGAAAGCCUGACGCAGCGACGCCGCGUGAGGGAUGACGGCCUGG